UCUCCGUUGGUGAACCAGCGGAGGGAUCAUUAAUGAGUUGUCAUGGGGUUCGAUGCUGGCAGCCAAUUUUUGGAUGCAUGUGCUUGCCCUAACAAUCAUCUUCCAAACACCUGUGCACAUUUUUGAGGGAGUCUUGAGUUGGUUGCCGCUCUUGGGUGAUUUUCUCACAUUCCCUUAAAUCAUUAUACGCUAUUAACAAUGUUGAACGUGCUCUGUGCCGCAAGGCUAUUAAUAUAAUACAACUUUUAACAACGGAUCUCUUGGCUCUC
This 269-nucleotide unclassified non-coding RNA is filed under the name plant metagenome. RNAcentral describes it as "partial contains small subunit ribosomal RNA, internal transcribed spacer 1, and 5.8S ribosomal RNA". The record is from RNAcentral.